Molecule: unclassified non-coding RNA, 6222 nt
Filed under: Leishmania donovani
Lineage: Eukaryota; Euglenozoa; Kinetoplastea; Trypanosomatida; Trypanosomatidae
Description: gene:LdHU3.12.0690(CDS-product:hypothetical_prote in)
Source: RNAcentral
CCCCCUCUUCUAUUUCACGCGCUCGUUGACGACUCGACCACGCAUCUUCCCGAGUAGCGGUGGACGGUACUACCUUCCUACCUUGAUAGCAAGACAGCAAGAGGAAGAACAAACAGUUAAAGGGAGAAGGAUGGGUCUUCAUUGAUCGACCCCGUUUCCAAAGCUCAUUCAUCCGGUGUUUGCACACCAGACAUCUUCUCUUCCAUUGCCUCUCGCCCUGAACUCAAAAAGCUCGACUGCUUCAACACAGACACAAAGAAGCAAACCAACCAACCAGCUGAGAUGAAGGGGGGGGACGACACUCAUUUGGCCCGAUUGCAAAUCCUCUCAUUCUUUUUUUUCUUCGUUGUGUGCUUUCUGUUUCUUCCGGUCUAGUAUAUAUAUAUUUUUACUAUCCUUGAAAUCCCUUCUUGUAAAACUGGCCACGGCCACUGCCCAGGACUUGGGUCUUUCUUUUCGUAGAGGCCUUGAAGGAGAACCGACAGAUUCGUCACACACACACACAUACACACACAUACACACACGCACUUCGUGCAAUCGUACGUUUUCCGUGCUUCCUGCAAUACUCGCGUCCACAUCUAAUUUCCCUUUGCCCACAUCUCCCGUGGUAAAAGUAAUUGAGAGCAUUGUCAUGUAGAUGCGUGUGUGUAAAAGAGAAGGUGAUGAUAGCAAGGCAAGAGAAUAAAACAACGACAAUAAGAAACAUCACUGCUACUCUUCGCUCCGUUCGCCCUUCUCGUUCCUUUCGGCCUUUAUCCCCUCCCCUUGCUCUCCAUUGUUGUCUUGAGUGGAAAAGCACGCACGCACGCACUCACCCACCCACACGUACGCGCAGACUCCUUCAUGGACAAGGAGGAAGCAAGAAGGCUAGUUUGCCUUUUCCUGUUUUUAUUUUCUGCUUCUUGUGUUUCGUUUUAGUCGCUUACUUCUCCUUUUUGUGUUGCAUUUUUUUGUUCGCGUGAUUAUGUUUUUGUCUUUUCUCCAUCGUCCUCGUCUUGUUUGACCCUCAAAUUUUUCGUUCCUGCACUGUGUACGUCUUGCUCCACUUUAUUUCCGUUUCAAUAGCCGUUCUACGUCGAUUUCUGUUUUUUUUUUUCGGUGCGGGUGCUUUCGUUUUUGUAUAGAUUCUGUUUUUGAUUUUGUAUGCCCCUCGCUUUCGAGCAUUUUACCCAUAGAGUACGCAUGUCUGCUGUCCCCUCAAGGGGAAACGAAAAGAAAAAUAAGCUACAGAAGGGAAGCAGUUGUGAAAAGGCUGGGCUUUGUGACGGUGAUCUUCGUGAAAAGCUCGUGACGCUGCUUAUUUGCUGCCCAGAAAAACACCCUUCGAUGCUUAGCAAGCCUUCUCCUUUCUUUCGCAGGGAAGAAAGGAAAAAGGAAACCCAACACACCACCUCCCCUUUUCAUGUCUUCUCACACCUUUUUCUUGGAGAAAUUUUCGUCGUUUUUUUUUGUUUGCCUUUGAAAAGCUCAAGAUGUCUUUUGCCUGACAGCGGAAGAAGGGUGCCUUGCAAUCUUGCGGGGCAAAGUCUCCGAACGGAGAAAAAGAAUACGAAGACUUAGAAAAGUCGCAGUGGCCGUCUCCUUCAGUGCUUUUCUGUUCACUUCUCUUGUUUCGAAUCUCUUCCUCUCUUUUUUUCCCACCCCCACAUCUACUUGUUUUGCUGUGGAUGAUUAAGGGUAUAGUUCUGCUGUUUUCUUUGAGUGAGCAGGCAAGCUUCCACUGGUGUCGACGACGGAAAUCUUGCACGAGCCACUUCAUCACCUACACGGAAGGACUUUACUGGUUCUGUGUCUUGAAUCUUGAGUCGUGCAGCAGCCGUGGCAUGCCAUGGAUCAUCUCUACGGGUGCUUCCCCGGUAUCCAGGCACCGUCGUCGCAGCCGCAGCGGCCAGGCGCUUUUACUUUGCAGAGCAUUUGCGCCGCGCCUGCACGACGCGGAAUAUCAUCCUCCAGCAUCUGCACGCUUCUUCCACAGAGGAUCGUCACUGCAUAGGCGAAGUGCCUCGUUCACGGAUUCACCGAUGUCGCCUCGACACUCAUCCGCACGCUUUCUGCAACACGUCUGGUGCACCGAAGAGUUUCAGGAAUCGCCAUCCGGCUUUUUCUGCACUCCGGGCAAGAGAAGCGAGUGUGACAGAGCGGGUGCAGCGACCUUCUGCUUUCCGUUUGCGCGCGGAGAGGGCCGACAAAGUGGCGUUGGGACUGGAGAGGUCACGAUGGAUUCACCAACGCGCAUGGACACAGAUGGCCUUUCAAACGUCGAUUCGGCAAAGCUGACGCGCACCCGUAUGGUCCUUCGAAAGAGCAUCGCUCAAGCACAAGGGCGAUAUUGGGGGGGGAGCUUGGGGAAACGAGAGCUGCAGUCGGGGCUGUGGUUCACCAAUCACCUCAGCGCGCCUAUAGCCCACGCAUCGAAAUCGCUGCGUGCUGUAAAGUCGACCCCGCCCAUCGAGUCCCCUGACGGAGUGCGAUGUGCCCAUCCAGGGUGCUUUCCGCGCCCUAUCACGCGUUUCUCGAUUCGUGCGCGGAGGAUGCACCGUCACAAACUAGUCCUCUGAGCAGAGAGAGAGGAGAUUCUGGCACGCAGCUAAUGCAGGUGAGGUGGAAGAGGGUACCAGCUUGCACCACAGCAAUAUUUCGAACGUGUUUUCCCCCUCGCGGGCGUGUCGACUGCAACCAAAGCAGCAGCGGAAAACGGUGCUUGCCACUACCCACGCGCCACAGUCCAGCGCCCAUGUUACGGCAGCUGGCGAUCGUCGCUCCUUUGAUGUUCAUCACCACCUCGUGCAACCCCAACCCAGCAGCGCCUCCUCGUUCACGGCUCCUGUGAGGCAGGCCCGUCUCCCAUCUAGCAGGAACUCGCUCCAUGAGGCAAUAAUGUUCCCACUUCCCGCGUCGCAGCGAGGCGGCGCUACGCUCGGGAAAUGUAGCAGCACGGUUUUGUCCUAAGCGAAAAGCAAAGGCGCCGCCUGGGCUUUGCAUGCUCAGGACUUCAGCUGGGCACUGGGAGUUGGCGCCUUGGUUGGAAGGCAACCUGCACGAAAUCCAGCGUCUGAACUGCCAGUCGCCGCCGCAGUCCAUGCACUAGGCAUCCUUGCUCGUGGUCCCGCUGCAGCGCCGCACGCCCUUUUUGCUUCUGCAAACUUCAUCGCAGCCAUCUGCGCCGCAGACACAGCAGCUUCCUGACGUAGUCUCUCGGUCAACUCCGUGCGUCUCGCAUUCCUCGCUGCCGACAGCCGCCACUACUCCAGUGAAGGGUCUCGCACCGAGUACAUCGCCAAAGGCUGCGAUAAGGCCUGCAGUCGCUCUCCUCAGCAGCUGUCGGCUUAUGGUGCCUGUGCCACCUAGCCAGCUGCCGGCCCAUCUGGCGCACCUCCACGGAACCGGUCCGCGCCAAACCGGCGUUUCGAUUGCUCUCAUCCAGGCCAUACAGUGCCCUAGCAAAACGUGCAGACGUCAGCCGCCCCGGCGUUGGAGGUAUCUUCGUACAAGAGAUGGGGCCGAGUAGUGGUAGCGGUGCGACCGUGAGCGUCACAGGCAGCGGCCACAUUCCGCUUCAUUCAUCGCUCCCGCCUCCGCCACCUGCGUGCCCUGCCCCUCCGUCCAUGGCGGCUACAGUCGCCAACUUCACUGUUGCGCGCAGCACCCGGCUCUCUCCGCCACGACUCGCGUCUGGCAGCGACACCAGUCCUAACAUUUCUAAUCUCUCCGGGGCUGGCCGAAAAAGGAUCCUGCUGGCGACAAACACCGUCACAACGACAGCCACCACCGCCAUCGCGGCUGCUCCUGGCGACAGCACCGAACUCGCGCACUUCGCCCUAAGCAACCUGGGGUUGUCCGUGUCGAACACAGCCGCAAGCCAGGACAUCGGCUUGACAGAGCAGGCAGCCGCCUCCUGCGUUGCGCUGCAGCCGCCAGCCUCGCUCGAUCGCUCGUUUCGACCAAGCGGAAGAGUCACCAACGCGCCUUCGCUUUUGUCGCUCGUAGACAUCGGAAUCGUGGUGGACAUCUCAGCGCCGCAAAAGUCGAGUGCCGCGGUGCACAUCGUGACGGCAGAGUGACCCGAGACAGCCUUGCGAGGUUCGGCGGCGACAACCGUAGAGGGUCAGGAGCGAGGGCAAGGCCUGUAAGAGAGAUAUCUGUCAGCCGCAUGGAGUGUGCAUUGCAGCCGGAGACGAGUGACUGCGAGGACAUCUCAUUUUGUAUAAUCAGUCCUUGCUCGAUGUGGCAAACUGGAUGACAACAUGCCUUCUUUCCCCUAUCUGCGAAAGGGGCCCCAGCUGGUUUCACGGCAUGCGAGCAAGCUACUUCGAGCAAUGAACUGUGGGCCGAUGUCGAUGCCGUGGAAAAAACAAAAAGGCAGCUGUGAGCCGAACAGAGAGUCCCCUUGAUUGACUUUUUAGUUUUCUCUGGCUUUCUUUCACACCCUUCUCACUCCUUUCCACACGUGGAUGCGAUUCAGCGCUUUUCCUUUUCUUUCCGUCUGCUCUCGUGGCUAUUCCGAACACGCUGUGGCUCACUCUUCCGCUUCUUUUUCCCCUUUCUCCCCUUUUUCCUAGGAGUGAUGGAAUGCAUUACGUUGUGCUUUUUUUAUUUUGCGUGUUCAUCCCCCCUUCUCCUCUGUUUCCGAACCUCAUGUGGUGUCAACGUUUACUCUCGUCCCCCCCUUGCACGUUUGUUUUUCCUUUCGUCUGCUUUCUCGCUUCUCGUUUCAGUACAUAUAUAUAUAUAUAUUCACUUUUCUUUCUUUCUCUUGGGUGCGCGUGUCUUCUUGGAAUCAGCGUAGAGAACUCCCCCUUUUUCUUGCCUUUGUUCUCACUCUACCGACCUCCAAUUUCUCGCAACCCGAUCGAAUGAUUCCCUGCCCUUCCUUCCCCAGGCUGUGAACCAUUUCGCAUUCCUUUCUUUUCGCUUCUCUCCGCAUGAUCUCCUCUCGCCUCGGAAGCGAGAAAAAAGUACCAAAGAGGGGGAGUGCAAUCGGACCCUUGUCUCGCAUUCGUGGUGUCUUCGACAACCGGUGAAAACGAAGUACAGACAACACAGCGCAAAGAAGGCAGAAGCGACACGUGAAGUGGGGACGUUUCCUUUUCCCUCUUAUCCUUACGGCCUUUCUCAUCCCUCCCUCUCCCCCUCUUUGCUUUCCUCUCCUCUCCUUUUUUUUAUAUUCCCCAUCUCCCCCUCGCCCCCUUUCCUUUCCGUUCCCCUCGAUGUAACGGUCGCAGACAUAACCAGCAAGGGGUUUUCCCCCUCAAACUCUGUCAUGAUUUGUUUCACAUGUUUAUUCUUCUUCUCACUUCGCAAGAGCUGUGCCGGAUACGACUAGAUGCACUCUGAUCCCGUGUGUUGUAUGAGUAUUUGGCACUCCGUGUCUUGCCGCAGCGGAACAUGAGCGUGCAGGCUUCCACUCGGGCUCACGCUUACAGCUGCGCUAGUAUACUAGGUGUGUAUGUACAUGUGCAUGUGUGCGUGGGUGUGCAUGCGUGUUCACCGUCACAGAGUCGCCGUCUGAAGUUUGCUUCCACCCAUUAGCAACUAAACCGUAAUGAGCGAAUAGAUCACUUCUGAAAGCUCAAGAGAAAGAUCGAUGCAAAGAGGCAGAAGUCGACUGUAUUCGGGGAAGGGGGGGCGCUCCAUUUUUGUUUUGUUUUCAGAAGGCCGCAGGAGGAGGAGGAGGGGCACCGAUAGCAAGAGAAUGAUAUUUCUACCGUCGCCUCCUGCUCCUACAGGCACCCACGCACAUGCUGAGAAGAUAGUCGCCCGUUCUCUCCUAACACCCCUACCAUUUCAUUUCGCUCACUGUUUCUGAACAUGCGGAUAGCGGUGUCCUCACCACCAUCUCUUCCUACUACCCCCUUUCCCUGUGUCCGUUUUCGGACACCUCUGAAAUCACUUGCCGUCUUUUAUUUCUGCAUUUUUUGUUUUCCUGCCGAUUCUCUCUUGUCCACUGCUUCGGCAUUCGUCUCUCGUGAGACUUGGAAGGGUCUGGAACUGCACGAAAAAAAAACAAUGAUCGAAAAGCGGUACCAUAGAAGCACAAGAAGCGACAAGAGCAAUGACAGCCUCUGCUUCUUCUUGCUCCCCUUCUCCUCUUGCUGAUGUUGCUUCUCUCCACAGUAGUCAUAGACUUGUAUUACUACCUACCACCACCCCAUCCCGUGCGACAGCGACGCUGUGUUUCCCGCCUGUUACAAUCUCUAUCCUCCUCUUCACUCUCUUCUUUAG